This 463-nucleotide ribosomal RNA is filed under the name uncultured bacterium. RNAcentral describes it as "bacterial SSU rRNA". It matches the Rfam family "Bacterial small subunit ribosomal RNA", at positions 28 to 507 of the family's 1533-position model. The record is from RNAcentral.
GACGAACGCUGGCGGCGUGCUCCCCCCUGAGGGUCGAACGAUGAAGUUCCUUCGGGAAUGGAUUAGGGGCGAACGGGUGAGGAACACGUGAGAAACCUGCCUUUCAUUUUGGGAUAACUCCGGGAAACCGGGGCUAAUACCGAAUACUCCGUCUCGGUGGCAUCGCUGAGCCGGGAAAAAAUUUUGAUGAAAGAUGGUCUCGCGGCCUAUCAGCUAGUUGGUGAGGUAAUGGCUCACCAAGGCGACAACGGGUAGCCGGCCUGAGAGGGCGACCGGCCACACUGGGACUGAGACACGGCCCAAACUCCUACGGGAGGCAGCAGUGGGGAAUAUUGGGCAAUGGGCGCAAGCCUGACCCAGCGACGCCGCGUGAGGGAUGAAGGCCUUCGGGUUGUAAACCUCUUUCAGUAGGGAAGAAGCGAAAGUGACGGUACCUAAAGAAGAAGCACCGGCUAACUAUGUG